RNAcentral lists this non-coding RNA (36 nucleotides) under Phytophthora cinnamomi. Lineage: Eukaryota; Oomycota; Peronosporomycetes; Peronosporales; Peronosporaceae. RNAcentral also lists the same sequence under 256 other names. The record is from RNAcentral.
AAGGUUUCCGUAGGUGAACCUGCGGAAGGAUCAUUA